Molecule: transfer RNA, 85 nt
Filed under: uncultured bacterium
Lineage: Bacteria
Description: transfer RNA-Ser
Rfam family: tRNA
About the family: Transfer RNA (tRNA) molecules are approximately 80 nucleotides in length. Their secondary structure includes four short double-helical elements and three loops (D, anti-codon, and T loops).
Source: RNAcentral
GGAGGGGUGGCAGAGCGGUUGAAUGCGGCGGUCUUGAAAACCGUUGUGGGGCAACCUACCGUGAGUUCGAAUCUCACCCCCUCCG